This 4305-nucleotide long non-coding RNA is filed under the name Cricetulus griseus (Chinese hamster). RNAcentral describes it as "lncRNA (ENSCGRG00015033730.1)". The record is from RNAcentral. Lineage: Eukaryota; Metazoa; Chordata; Mammalia; Rodentia; Cricetidae.
GAAGCAUCCCUCUUUUCCCCUCCGCUCCUGCUCCAGCACACAAUGUGAUCCACCAGCAAGGAGGGACUCCAAUAAGGCGUCCGAUAAGAUAAGUCUUAUAAAAUAUAUAGGUUUAUGAUAGUUAAGACAGAGCUAACAGAUGAGAUCCUAGUCAUUGGCCAAGCAGCAUUGUACCUAAUACAAGUUUCUGUGUAUUCAUUUGGGCCUAACUCGGGCAGGCAGCUGAGCUCACUCGUGGCGGUGGGGCUUGGGCGGCUUUUGGCAGAAAGAUUUACUGUAACAGAUCCUGAAGUAUAUAAGAAAGUUAUCUGAUUCAAGAUACAGUCAGAAUGCAAUAGGUUACCCCGUAGAAUUCAUUCCAGUCUUUCACCUGUGGACAUAUUAUGCCUGACAGGUGAGAAUUGUGACAUGUGUUGUCCACAUCUAAGUAAGACCAUUGAUGGCUUUCUCCCUCAGAGGCCUUCAUAGAACCUUCCAGAAGUAUAAAAAUUAGCCAGCAGGGGGGAGGUUUCCAGUUUAGUUUCACUUUGGUUUCUGUGUCCUACAGUGUGUUGCCUUCAAGAAUGUAAAUCUUACGAAACAGUCUGAUGGGCAACCGAGAGCAAUGGUAAUAGCUUUUAUUACUUUUGGAGCCUCUGAGGCCUUCUUGACCAACAAUUCAUAGGGAGGUAUUCCAUUCCUGUCACAGGGAUUUUCAUUUAAACCUGUGGCUACUGUGAGAAGCAUUGUUUUAAUAUAAAAAUAAUCACAAGAUUUGAACUAUAAAGGGAUCAUUUAAUAUAAAGGUUUUUUCACCUUAUAUGCCAGCCUGUAAUUAACUAUGAAGGUGCUACUAGGGUGUUAGCUUUAACUUCUUCCAGUGGGAUAGGAUGGAAAUGGAUUCUGGUGUUUCUGCUCAUUUAACUUUGGGACGUAGAAUAUAAUAGCUGCCCUCAUCAAAUUCACAUUUGUAAUCUAUAAACCGGAUUGCUAAUAUCUACAUCACAAGUCCCUAGAGUGCAAGGACUCCAUGGAACAAGCAGGGCACACACAGCAGUGUGAAUUUUCUUCACAGUCUGGAUUCUUGAAUAAGAAUAGUUCCUGCCUAGGUGCUCUCCAAAACACACUAAUCUUUCCCUCAUAGAGUUACUGAAGGUGUGAUCAACUAUAACAUUGAUUCCCCAAAGUGCCUAGCAGGUCUGAGAGGAAAAGUUCUUGCUCUCUAUUUCUUGCUUUGAAGUAAUUUCCCAUUGUCUUGCUUCCUCUUCUUCUUUCAAAUCUUGCCUUCCUUUCUGGGAUCCCUCUCACCCUCUCUUCAUUUCCCCUUUCCUCCCUCCACUGAAGUUGAGUGUCAUCACAUGACACAUAGUGAUGUGACUCUUGAUAUGUUUUUCAUUAAAGCACUAAUGCUACAUGUCUCGAGAUGCACUGCUCUGGGAGCUUUGCAGAGUUUCCAAGAUGAAAUCUGAUGAUUUCUGUUUCUCUCCUUUAUUAGAAACUCAAUGAAUUUGGCUGUAUCACAGUGUGGGGCACUCAGAGAGACCACAUUCCAUGACAAAUCCACUUACUUAGUGGCUUGUGCUCUGUGUUUAGGGACAGUGGUUGGAGGCUUGGCAAGAUUGCUUGGCAAGAAUCCACAAGCCUUAUUUGUCCCUCUUAUAAAGAGAUAGCUUCUUCCUCAUUCAGUCCUCCUAGAUGAAAUUGAGAGGUCAUUUCUGUAUGAGAAUUGGGCAUAGAAAUUCAGUUAAAUUUGUAUUUUCCCAAAUCUAAGGAGAAGAAACAUUUGCAUCUCCAUUACCUCAUAUGGUUGGUACUAUUUCAAUAUAUGUCCUUCACAUUUGCUUGGGAAAAUUUCAAAGGCUAAGUUAGGUCACAUGAAGCUCCAUUUGAAUCUUAUCUACAGAAUUGUUAUAUUCAUCUAUACAUCCAUCUAUCUAGCAAGCCAGUCAUCAGUCAUUAAUUCAUGUAUCUGUACAUCUGUUGAACCAUUCAUUAAUAUCUUAAAAAUAUUUAUUAAUCUUUUUCCUGUGUUUUAAAUAUUUUUAAACUUUUGUCACAAAUAGAUAGCCUGGAACUCAUUGUGUAGAUCAGGCUGGCCUCAAACUUACAGAAACCUGCCUUAAUACUGAGAUCAAAGGCAUGAACCAUUAUGCCCAGUGUGUGUGUGUGUGUGUGUGUGUGUGUGUGUGUGUGUGUGUGUGUGCUGUCUUAAAAACAAUUUUGUGUAUGUUGUGUUGCAUGUAUGGUAUAUAUGAUGUAUGUACUUGUUUAUAUAGAUGGGUACAUUGUACCUACAUGGCUUCUGUAUACCAGUUUUUGGAGAUAGGAUCUCUCACUGAACCCAAAACUCUUCAAUUUUUGAAUGGCUAAACAGACAACCUGUCUACCUCCCUGUGGCCCUCCCUAAACUCUGAGAUUACAAAUGUGUGCCAUCAUACAUGGCUUCUUGGAAUCCAAAAUCAGGUCUUCACGAUCUCAUCCCCAGAUCCCUGUCCUAUGUUCUGCUGGAGAUUUGUCCUAAGCACUCACAGGAAAUGCUGAAUAAAUUUCAUUCAGAUCAUUCCACCAAGGUGUUUGCCGUCUGGUGAAUAAGUGGGUGUGGGGAGCCAGAUCAACUGAAGACUUUCUCAGAGGCCCCAUGAAAGGAAAAAGGGGCUUUGCAAGGCUGGUCUAGGUCUUGGAGCCAGUGCCUUGAAAGAGUUAAGGUUGUGGCUUCUAAGGACCGAACUCUUUCCUUGGGGCUGUCAUUGUCAGUCUUUUAGCAGCUCUAUCUGUGUUCUCUUUGCUAACUUUGUCUGACUUAGCCCUCUACUGAUCUUGGCAGAUUUUCCACUGCAAAUUGUAUAUGAGAUGCUGUACUUUUCAAAAUGUUUUUUAUUUUAAAACAAUCUUUUCUCAUUUUGCAUACCAAUCCCUGUUUCCACUUCCUCCCCUCCUCUUGAUCUCCCCGCCUCCCUCCUACUCCACUCCACCCCAUCCACUCCUUAGAGAGGGUAAGGCUUCCCCUGGGGAGUCAACACAGUCUGGCACAUCACUUUGAGUUAUGACCAAGGCCCUCCCCCCAUAUAUAGGCUGAGCAAGGUACCCUCCAAAGAAAAUGGGCUCCAAAAAGUCAGUUGAAGCACUAGGGAUAAAUCCUGGUCCCACUGGCAGUGGCCCCUUAGACUGCCUGAGCCACACAACUGUCACCCACAUUCAGAGGGCCGAGUUUGGUCUUAUGCAGGUUCCCCUGCUGUCAGUCCAGAGUCAGUGAGCUCCCACGGAAUGCUGUACUUCUUAAUAAUCUUGCUUGGCACCUGGUCCCAGCUAUUGCUUUUGUCUCCUUUAUGUCUCAUUUUCUUGGCACCUGGUCCCAGCUAUUGCUUUUGUCUUUAUUUCUUGUUUUCUUGAUUUCUCAUGCUUGGAUUUCUAAUCAGCACCUCACCAUAUGGGACCCUUACUCCUGCUGGUUUGGGACAAGUGGGUACAGGCAUGAAGAUUUGAAUCAAACAGGAGUCUGUUUUCUUUGAGUCCUGAUGGGUGUGGAGCUUCAGGGAUAGGCUGGUUGGAUCAGCAGCAUUCCCAGUUCAUCCUGAAAGACCUGAGACAGCUAUAUAAUUCACAGGGUUUGAGGAGGCUUCCAGUAUCCAGAAAAACAUGUUUAUAACAUCAAAGUUCCAGAUCAGCGAUCUGAGCUCAGAAAUUUCACAGGCUGCGUUUCACUGGAUAUUUGGUUUCAACAUGGAUUGUAAACCAUAGCACCUGAAAUGACUGAAACAUGUGAACCCACUGGCAAGCUGGUGAACACAGCAUCUGAGAUAUGAAGAGCACACUUGUGAACAGAACCUUGAGCCAAGAAGACAACAGGCCUUUGAGCUGCAUCAUGAGGCUGAAUGACACACACCUUUAAUCCAGACCUCCAGGCUGGAAGCCACACCUUUAAUCCUAGCCACACCUGCAGGAAGAACAAGGGAAGAAGGGUGUGUUCUUUCUUUGCCUGUUUGCCCUUGCCUUGCCAGCACAUCCUUUCCUUCACUGGCAUUGGAGCCUAAUUCUUCAGGAUUCCAACAUAUAUGGAAGACCAGCUGAGACGUCCAGCCUCAUGGAACUGAGCAACUAUAGGUUCUUGGCCUUUCCAUGCAGUCUGUCCAGAUGUAGAAUUCCCAGCUCCUUCUCCAGCACCAUGUCUACCUGUGUGCUUCCAUGUUUCCCACUAGGAGGCUGGGUGUGUCUGAGAGGCCCUGGACUGCAGGACAAGUUUUUAUUCCUGGUGUAUGAGCUAGCUUGUUGGAGCCCAUUCUCUAUGGAGGGAUUCCAUGCUUAACCUUAAGUUGGGGCUGGGGUGGG